Molecule: small RNA, 455 nt
Filed under: Pan troglodytes (chimpanzee)
Lineage: Eukaryota; Metazoa; Chordata; Mammalia; Primates; Hominidae
Description: processed transcript
Source: RNAcentral
AGGUGGACCAGUGAGGCACAUCUGGGCAGUGCUCUGUUCACAUCUGGCCUGUACCUGCUCUCAUCCUGCCUUCACAGGUGCUUAGGAGAACACGCAGUAGAACCUUUCAUCAAACAAAUGGAACACAUCACAGGAUUUUGCUAACAUGGACAACUCUGCACAGAAAAAUGAACGCACUGGCAAACAUCCCAGACGUGCCAGUGAAGUACAGAAAGGUACAUGUGUCUUUGCAGGGAGGAGAUAGCUCCUGACAUAUGCUUAUUUUAGUACAUAAGAGCAAAUUUGGGGGGAAUAGUAAGUCCUGGGUUAUAUCCACAGGGCCAUCCUUACAGGCAUACCAGAUAGAUGGCUUUAGGCCCUACUGUUUCAAGUGUGACGAUUGGGAAGAAACUGAGAAGAAAGGAUGAGAGAAGAAGGAGGAAAUCUGUUAAAAAAUAAAAAACUAAUAAACAAAA